This 254-nucleotide ribosomal RNA is filed under the name uncultured bacterium. Its description in RNAcentral is "partial 16S ribosomal RNA". It matches the Rfam family "Bacterial small subunit ribosomal RNA", at positions 524 to 776 of the family's 1533-position model. The record is from RNAcentral.
UACGUAGGGGGCAAGCGUUGUCCGGAAUUAUUGGGCGUAAAGAGCUCGUAGGCGGUGUGUCGCGUCGGCCGUGAAAACCUGCAGCUUAACUGUGGGCGUGCGGUCGAUACGGGCAUCACUGGAGUUCAGCAGGGGAGACUGGAAUUCCUGGUGUAGCGGUGAAAUGCGCAGAUAUCAGGAGGAACACCGGUGGCGAAGGCGGGUCUCUGGGCCGAUACUGACGCUGAGGAGCGAAAGCGUGGGGAGCAAACAGG